RNAcentral lists this ribosomal RNA (706 nucleotides) under Priestia megaterium. RNAcentral's name for it is "bacterial SSU rRNA". It matches the Rfam family "Bacterial small subunit ribosomal RNA", at positions 53 to 740 of the family's 1533-position model. Lineage: Bacteria; Bacillati; Bacillota; Bacilli; Caryophanales; Bacillaceae. The record is from RNAcentral.
ACAUGCAAGUCGAGCGAACUGAUUAGAAGCUUGCUUCUAUGACGUUAGCGGCGGACGGGUGAGUAACACGUGGGCAACCUGCCUGUAAGACUGGGAUAACUUCGGGAAACCGAAGCUAAUACCGGAUAGGAUCUUCUCCUUCAUGGGAGAUGAUUGAAAGAUGGUUUCGGCUAUCACUUACAGAUGGGCCCGCGGUGCAUUAGCUAGUUGGUGAGGUAACGGCUCACCAAGGCAACGAUGCAUAGCCGACCUGAGAGGGUGAUCGGCCACACUGGGACUGAGACACGGCCCAGACUCCUACGGGAGGCAGCAGUAGGGAAUCUUCCGCAAUGGACGAAAGUCUGACGGAGCAACGCCGCGUGAGUGAUGAAGGCUUUCGGGUCGUAAAACUCUGUUGUUAGGGAAGAACAAGUACGAGAGUAACUGCUCGUACCUUGACGGUACCUAACCAGAAAGCCACGGCUAACUACGUGCCAGCAGCCGCGGUAAUACGUAGGUGGCAAGCGUUAUCCGGAAUUAUUGGGCGUAAAGCGCGCGCAGGCGGUUUCUUAAGUCUGAUGUGAAAGCCCACGGCUCAACCGUGGAGGGUCAUUGGAAACUGGGGAACUUGAGUGCAGAAGAGAAAAGCGGAAUUCCACGUGUAGCGGUGAAAUGCGUAGAGAUGUGGAGGAACACCAGUGGCGAAGGCGGCUUUUUGGUCUGUAAC